Long non-coding RNA from Bombus huntii, 9383 nucleotides. RefSeq lists it as uncharacterized. The record is from RefSeq and is a predicted model, not a curated record. The transcript is spliced from 2 exons. Lineage: Eukaryota; Metazoa; Arthropoda; Insecta; Hymenoptera; Apidae.
CUUAUUUUCGCCGGGUUUCAUUCGCACUGGAGUUUCCAUUUGUUUCUCCGCUCGUGGUUAUGCCGAUUACUAUCAAAGAUACGCACGUAUAGAAAGACAUUCGUUCGAAUAUGUUUGUCGUACAAAACGACGAUAUAUUGGUAAAUUAGGUUAUGACUUUGUUUUUCAAACAUACCACUAUCGAUAGGCAAGUGUAGAUGCAGUCUUUUGAAAAUUGCUUGAUUAAUAGUUCGUUCUUCUGGAAUUCAAAAUUUGAAGCAUAUAUCGAGGAAUAUUUGAAUAUAAAAGAUGUAUAACAUACAAAUAGAAAUUACCUUGAAUGCCAGGUACCCAUCCUGACGAUGUAACGAAUUUUCGAACACGAAUAAUCAGGAUAAUACGUAUUAACACUUCGCAACUACGCUGACACUUCAUGCUUGAUUUCGUUUCAAACGACUACUUUCGUUUUCAAUUUAAUCUCACGAAUUUACUUAAAAAUGUCGGCGUCCGUGCACCUUCGAUAACAUUGCAGAGAGCAACGAUACAACAUUCAACACCAUUGUUUCACGGUAUCAGCAACGAAAAGAUCGUUCUUGUUGCAACAAAUCGCCAAAUAUUGCUCAUCUUAGUUCCUCGCUGAUCGCGCCACCUGCAAAACCGUCGAGGUCUAUAAAGCUAUGUAUAUAGAUUUACGCGUAUGCACACGUAAAUUUGAAUAUCGAAGCGCGAUCGUGCAACGGCACCCCUUUAUUUCUCUUUCGAAAGGUUGAAAAAGCAGAGGGACACGAAGAGCUCGGUACAGUCGAAUACGAUAAAAGGCUAAAGAUAGAAAGAAAAAUAAUUCUAUUUUAUAUUUUAACAGAAGCGAUGCAACGAAGAAAGAGCGUGAAGUUUCAUCAGUAAACUGCGGAUGUGUUUAUGCAUCUAUAGAUAAUUAAGUGCAAAAGUCUAGAAAAUAUAUGUAUAUAACAGGCAAAAAUAUAUAAGAUAUCCAAAGUCGAGUGCUUGUUGUAUUAUUUAGUAAGUAAAACGAGUUUCCAUUUAGGUUCCAUUCCUUUGGUUAUCUUUAUGAAGAUAUAAAGUUGCAUAAACACAAACAAUCGCAGUUUAUUUAUUAGGAAUAGGACGAACGAGGACAGUCGCGUAAUAAAUCCGAACGCUCACGCACACUCUUGAUGCAUAAACACAAUAUGUUAUAUAUACACUAUAUACAUCCAUAGUAUAUACAUAUGUAUAUGCAUUAGCGGAUUAACGAAACUCGCCUAAUUAUCGCCUACUACGGAUUAAUUACACCAUUCAUCUGUCUUUAUCGAUCCUUUCGUUCGGUCGCAUCUGUUUCCCUUUGGUUCCCCUUUCUCCGCGUUCUAUAGUGUAAAUAAGAAGCUCAUAGAGACGAUGUAACGAUGUAAUGGAGUUAGUAGGAUUAACAAAAUAGUAGCAAAGGUGAAAACUUUAAAGCAUAUAGUAUAUAAGAGUCUCACGAGACGAGGUACACUAUAAAGUAAGUAAUGUUAUACUGGCGAGAACUGGGUUCCCAGUUGGGCCAAUAUUCGAUAAAUAUCGGCGUGAAGGAUCUAGUUACUUUUUUUUUUAUCUCCUUAGUUCGUUCGUGAUCGCGUAACGGUCGUUGCUUUUUUCGGAUGGUAGAAGGCAGAAGCCAAUCUCAACGUGACAUUGCCCGGAAUCGUUGGUCAUAAGCAUAAGAAUUAAUUUUAAGUUUCUUCGCUUCGCGAAACAACAUGUACGAUACAAUCACCCGUGGUUUUACGCGUUUCCCCAGUUUCUUGCUGCUUCUCAACUAUAUUUUAAGAGUCACGACGAAUCGUGCAAAAUUUAAAUACUGCAUAAUUUACUUUAAAAAGAUUUGUUCUGGAAAUUACUGUAUAUCGAAAUAGAUCACACAGGCCAGAUUAGGGAUAAUAAUUAUAAACUUAAUUAACGUGGAUGCUAGUAAAUAUGGAACGUGACUGUGUAAAUUGCAAUAUACGUCAAUAGUAAUUUCAGUUGCAGCUGAUAUCAAUCGCGUACAGUAUCGUAAUUGCCAAUACCCACUAAAACAUAUAUUGGUCAGCUACCAAUGUCAUAUGAGUAAUUAUCGAUCGUAAUUAAUAAUCGUUAAUGCAAUUCUGUAGAAAAAUUGAAAUCAGUUUAAUUGAGUUUGCGAUAACGUUGGACAGUUAUCUUCUUUUUUUUAUUCGACAGAAACUGGGGUAACGAUAUAUGAAUUUCACGUAUGAUUAAUCCUUAAACGCUGAUUGCAUCCGGUGACCUAAAUCCCAGUAGAUUCCUAACCUAAUUGCAGGCACAUGACACGGGGCAAACGUAACACAUACAAAAUCGGUAAAUUCUCGGGUAAUUUCUCGAAUAUAGGUUUGAAAUGUUAUACGUACGUGAUUACAAGGCUAAAAUCACUGAAAUUGGCGAUCGCUUUAACGUGGAGACGAAAUUUAUCGAGAAUCGUUAGAUGCAACGAAAUGCUGGGUUGAAGAGCCUUAAUGAGAGAAGGGAACCUGAUGGGUAAUCGAAUUUAUUGAAAACUUCGCAAGGAACACAUCGGACGUUUUCGUUGUCGUUUUAAAAAUUUAUGUUUCGUUCUUAGGAAAAGUGAUAUCAUGCAUUCAUAAAGAAUUUGAUAUAAAAAUGAGAAAAUAAAUUCGAUCGAACUUGUAUUUGAAACUGUUGAGAAAUUGCUCGUAAAAGCUGCAUGGUGGACAUCAGUUUCGUGAAUAAUCGCAUCGCGUGCGAAUCUUUCACGUAUACAUGAACGUGUUGAGAAAACAAGAAGAGUUGCACGCAACUUUACAGCAAUAAUGCUCAAACACGAGAUUAAAUGGCUACUUGUGUAACCACAUUUGUGUCGUCGAUGUUUAAUGUUCGUGGAACAAGAAAAUUAGUAAAAAAAAAAAAUGUUGUAUUAAAUGUUCAAUUAUACUUGGUGUAAUACUCAAUAAGGAAAUAAGAAAACGUGUCAAUAAUAUUAUUAUAUGGAACGCCAUGUUUUUUAAAUUGAAACGACUGGACCACACGGACGAUCGUCGAAGCGGCAGCGAACGUCGCGUUUGUUGCGAACUGGCGCUUCGACGCGAGCUCAAAGAUGAAAAAGUGAUACCUUAAUUUCGCUGAUAAAUUAACGAUUCGGCUCAUGUCUGAUAGUAGAACUAGUCGCACGUACUCCAGUCAAGUCAAAAGCAAUACUCGAAUGUAGAAUAAUUUUUCGUGUGUAAUGUCCAUGAGUAUGUACAAAUAUUCGAACACCGUUAAGUAUGGAAACUUCGAUGAUUGACCAUAUUCGAUAACACGAUAACAUGUUGCGAGUGAAACUUGUAACACGUCUCAAUAGAUGGUCGAAGCUCAUAAAUCUUAAACACGUAGAAAACAAAACUGAUACGGAGUCGCACAGCCUCGUUUGAGUUGCAUUAACAGAAAAUAUAUACGUAUAGAAAAUAAAAAUUGAUGCUGGAAGAAAGUUUCAUUUCAAAAAAAAAAAAAAAAAAAAAAAAAAGAAAAAGAAAAAAAGAAAGACAAGUGCGUAGUUUCGUUUAACGCAUAAAAGGAGGUGGUUAAUGGUAAAUUGACAGAAGUAUGAAAGUUCGAGCAUGCUAUUGGGUCAUCGUUACAAGAUUAUCUACAUAAGCAAUAACACAUUACGCCGCCUAAUAAUCAUUUUAAAAAAUGACUCCGGGUUCCCACGAGACUCGUUCUAUGUGUGACACUCGAUAGCAAACGUCCAACGAAAAAUGCGCGCGAUCGAUCGAUCAGUAUUGCUCAAGGAACUAGAAACGAGUCAAUAACGAGUCAAUAAAUUCGUAAGUCUCGUUAGUUUAAUUAAACAUUGUAGCAAGCUAACCAAAGUUUAUAGCAGUGAUAUUAAGUACAAAAAAAAAAGAACAAACGAAAAUAAAAAAAAUCGUGAAAUUUCGUAGUCAACAAAUGCAACUAUGUAUGUAUAUGUUAGUCAAAUGUCACUUUCUUCGCUCUUCGAUGUUGUUCGCGCGCAUUUUCAGUCAGUAAGAAAGAUCGGACAAAAGUGAUCGUCAAAGAUGCCGUGGUGUCGAUAAUUAAAACAAACCUGCAAAAAAUAUUUUGUACUUACAUAUAAACGAAUGGUUCGAUUUUAGUGGGAAUCUACUGAUGAUCACUUUUUUCACUUCUCGUGUCACAAGAAAUUUCUCUCUACGACUCUCACUGUUCACUGUAUUUUCCACUUCGUCUGUGACUUAUAUGCGCACGAGAAAACAUCAGUCGCAAGAUCUGCAAAGCGUUCGCAAUUAAUAAUUAAACUUUAACGAACAUAGUAGACGCACUGAGUAUAACGACGCUGGUGUUUUGUGGACGUAGAGAUCUCACGUUAUACCUUGUUUUUAUAUGAACGAUGAAAAUGACCAGGUGAAAAAAGAAUCUCUUUUUCUUCGCGUAUCUAGCAAAGAUAUUAAAAUCUGUUCCUUCUAAUUUGAGUUCUUUAAAUCGAAUUAUUAAAACAGAUACGGAUAACCUCUGAAGAACUACGUCCAGAAACAGGUGCGAAAAUGUAACAGAAGCCUCUCGCUCGAAAUUCUCCUGUCUGUCGCUAUACCUUUUCCUGUUUCGGCUUCGACUUUCCGUCUCCAUGUGGCUUUAUUCUUCUCUACCAACCAUCUACUCUAUUAUUACAUAUACCGCUUCCUGUUUAAACAACGUAAAGCCUGGUAGAAAGGUUAGCGGACACAAAACGACAAAACUGUUCGCCUACUCCCUCUAUACUGUUUUCUAUUGCUUCCCUAUUCUCUCACUAUCUGUCUCUGAUAACCUUUUGUAAAUCGAACGAAUUCUGUUAACGAAGAUGGUUUGAUGAUUCUUCGUCGAGGUGGUACGCGUGAGUUUUGAUUCGAUUCCGUGACGUUUCUAGCUUUAAGAAACGACUAUCUAAACAUAGAGGUCUGUCUUUGGAACUGCGAGCUUUCCUUAUCGAAAAAAAGGAGACUAACAAGGUUGAUAGAUACAUAAAUUUGUAGCGCAGUUUGUUGUUUUGGGAUAGUGUAAGAACGAGAUAAGAGCGCCAGGGGUAUGGAACGAGAAAGAAUAAGAGAGGAAGAAAAAAGGAGAACGAAGAAAAAAGUGCCUAUAUACAUCAGUAAAAUUAUUCGUUAGCGUGCAUUUAUGCGUUUCAACGAGUACGGACAGUGUCAAUUACAGGUAAAAAGAAGCGACAAACAAGAUACAUGUGCGUGAUGAAGACGAAAGAUACGAGCAAGGAUACGACGAAGCAAUAUCGAGCGACGAUCCGAGAUUACAAAACGCUUGCGAGUACCAAUUAUUAACAACGACUACGACGAUGACGAUAAUGAUUGCGAACUAUGAUUACUAUUAUUGUUAUUAUUGAUUGCGAACCUAAAUUAAUGAGCUAAUCGCCGUGGAGUGUCGCUCGGGUUCUGCUAGGUUAUGCUAAUGACGUUCGAGAUAGAUAUUUUGCGAUCAAUUAAAAAAUCGUUAGCCUGGAAGUUAAUGAAACGAACAAUACGAGAACACCAAAUUGUAUAAUAUAAUUAUGAUAUCGUAGGACGCAGUAAGUAUCAAUGCGUAUUAUUAACAUUGUAUAGCAGUGUAUUAUCGUUUGGAAGCCAGCUUGAAAUUUACGUUUAAUGUGACGAAGAAAACGUUGUCGUUUAGCUGAAAAAUCGUGCUUCCAAAGCAUCGUCCCACGUAGAUCCUCGUGAGCUCGUUCGACGCAUACCACGGCGCGUUAGGGACGGAUGUGAUAUAAGGUGAACCUUAACCUAACCUAUAACGCAUAUAGAUAUUGAUAUUGUAUGCAUUGUGAUAGUAUUCUCGAGGAAAAACAAAACGACACACACCAAUUCAACAACAAGAACAAAAAAAGAAAAAUAGAACAAACCGCGUAAAAAAAUCCCUGCCUCCUCCAAAGUGCGACUGAUAUUUACAGGAUAUUGUUCCAAUUGGAUGCUCCCAAGGAAGCCGGGGUAUUCAAAAGCAAUAACUUCGUAGGCGGUCGCGGAUCCUCGAUGAGGUACCUUUGCGACCGAUUAAUAUAAAUAAUAAUAACGGCGCAAAAAAAAAAGUAUGAAUAGGCCGAUGAAUUUUUAACCUUAAUAAUUUUAAUUGUAAUGAUGACUUAGCGGUGCAGGAUCACACACCGACGUUACAAGUCUGGAUCACGAACAGUCAAACAUACACACACGUACACACUAACGUAGUGAACAAUUAUUUGCUACUCGUUACGAUAAUAAACUACCGAGAAAGGAAAUGAAUAAUUAGCGAAGACGAAAAAUGAACGAAAGAGAGAACGAGUGUGUGUGAAAGGAGAGAAUACGAGCAAGAGAAUGGUAGGCAUAGGCGUAGAUAAUGAAUCAUCUUUACACGAGCGCACGCACGUGCGCGCGUGCACCCAUCCACAUAGUCAUGUAAACACAGACACACCAUACAGUGAGCCUAAUAAACGAUUUAGUAAGAGUUAUUAUUAUAAUUAAAGAAAAAAAAAAAAGAAUGAGAAAAGACGAGGAGACUAGCGAUGGCUUUUAUAAGAUGAAGUAAUACGAUGCAGCGCGACAAAACGCGCACCACUGGUUACAUUGAUAUACAUAAAUCUAUUAUAUAUAUAAAUAUAUAUAUAUAUAUUAUAUACAUAAAAAAAUAUUAUAUAUAUAUUAUAGUAUUCGAACUUUAGUUCGAAGAAAAUAGCGACGGUACGACGAAUGAGUAGAGAGCGCAAAAAUAAUAAUAUUAUGUUUCGUCGUAAAGAUUUGAAGAAAAUGUGAGCGAGAGUGAGAGAGCGAAUAUGAACAAAAAUUGUCAAAUAGAAGAGCGAGAGGGAAGUGAGUGAAUGUAACAAAAAAAAAAAAAGGAAUAACAGUAACAGAAAGAAUGAAAGAGUAGAGAAGUAAAUGCAAAAAAAAAAAAUACAAUUGUGCAGGUAUCCAUAUUUUAUAGCUUUUACGUAAGAAAUUAAACCGUACACACGCAGAACGCGAAGUUAACUAUAUAUAUUUAUAUAGAUACGUUGACACGGUAUUACCGAUGAAAUUAUAUCGAAUUACUGGUAGGCUGGCGUUAUUACGAUGAUUUAUCGCUUUGAUGAUUAGUACCGUCGUUCGCGUUAUUGCGCGUCAACGCGUGAACUUAAACAGAUACACAACAACGAGAAGAAAAUCACAACACGAAACCAACCGAGUUACUUAACAUUCGGUAACGAUUCUUUUAUCAUCGUUAUUACUACAAUCAACUGUCGUUCUUGCUACUAUUAUUUUCAUUUAUAAUUACGAUUAUUACCGGUUAUCGUCGGUCGGAUAUUAUUAUUUAUCGCGACGUUAUAAUUCUCAUUGAACGGCGAUGAAGAGAGAUACCAGUUAUAUUAUAUCUAUUAACGGAAAAAAAAUAAUACAAUUAUACCUUGCAUGACUACGUAGGGCUAUACUGCCGCCGAAGCAAUACAAAGAGCAAUAUAGAGUUAAAAGGUAAUUAACGAGAUUAAAGGUACUAAAGGUAAACGAUAUUAAUAACCGCGGAGAAAAACGCCGUAGGUAUUAUACACUGAACACUCGACACUACUCUCCUUCAUGACACUUUACACACACGUACAUAAAUACAGAAAUACGUAUUAACACACAUAAGACACGCAACAUGACAGAACACAAACAGAGACACGCACGAUUAUAAUUACUUACACGCAUGAACGCCCAGAUACUCGGGCCACAGAACACACCACAGGUGGACACUAUGUAUAGUCAUUAAUUUAUUCUGACCGUAGUGCUAAUUGUACUUAGCAUUUACGUAGAUGACACUAAUUGCCUAGGUCGACCAGCUCGUCCGGGGUUCCUGUUGCCGUGCGAGUUACACCCUCCUCUGAUCACCCCUUUAACCUCGCCGGUGUAUCUCCCUUCCGCGACGCGAACCGAAGCCACGAUCGUCGUCGACGAUGUAAUUUCCUACGGUGUAUCCGGCGGCAACGGCGGGAACCCUCGUCGAUCGAAUUUCGCCUAAUAAUGAAAUAACAAAAAAAAAAAAAACGGUAGCGAUAUAGAGUUAUUCGUAGAAUCGCUAAUGUAUUUCACUCGGUGCCUGUGACAGCUGAGCUAGCUAUCCGUUCGAGAACGAAAUGAUUGACAAUACAUUGUUGAAUAGAGUGCAACUUAUGAAGAAUCUUCAUAUUCCUUCGAAAACUUUGAUAACUGUUACCAUCUUCCUAUUCUCAGUUCACCUUCUUUUUUAUAUAUUUUUUAUCCUUGAGUAUUUCUCAUUUCUAACUUGUUUAAAACUUUCCAUAAGGUUUCUUCCUUUUUUGAAUCGUCUGAGAGAUUAUCUUUUCCCGAUUAUGGAAAUAUUAGAAGCUCAUUUCCAUCCUCUUUUAGUCUACUCGAUCCUCGAUAUUUUGUUAUUUAUUUUGUCAAAAAAUGUGUUCCUAAUAAAUCCGCUUAGUUUAUCUCUAAAGUAUUAUCUCGAGCGAAGGAUUAUUUAGCGAGCGACGGAUAAAAAGGACACUAAUCACUUGUUGUUUGUUUUCGAUGUCUCUAUUCGACAGCCAGUAAUUUCCUCUAUUUUCACCCUUCUAAUUACCUACUCACUGAUGUUUCCACAUCUGGUCGAUAACAAGUUCGACCGACUAUGACAAAGCUGUUCACGGGUACCACCUGGAAUACGUAGUAUUAGCAUGGUGUGAAAACGAUAGUGACGCUAGAUGAAUUAGCUUUAAGCUUCUUUCUCGCUAAGAGGGAACCUAUUAUUAUAAUAACGAUAUUUACAUACAUUUGUAUUAUUUGUAAACUAGCGCUAAUACAAAACUCCAAUUUGUGCAUCGACACGCGAAACAAGAAGAGAGUCCCGUUUCCCUGAACCCUUAUUCCUGGACCCACGAAGCCCAGACGAAUGAGUCAAACGAAACCAAAAAAAAGAAACAAGAAAAAACAAAGAAAAAAUGGUAAAAAAAAGUGAAAGAAAUGGAAAAUAAGCUCCCGCCCUUGUUCCUGUUCCGCUCGUCCGAACGGACUACCGUUUUUGUAACAAACAAAAUACGAAUAUGUGAGUCACAACACUAAAAGAAAAAGAACACCAGGACACUUUCGUUUCUCCGUUCCAAUUUGUAAUUUUUCGCUCUGUAACGUCUCUCGUCUAUUAUAUGUAUCUUCUCUCUCUGUAAUAUCGGGCCUUUUUCCUCCAAACGAAGUAAAACGAAAAAAAAAUGAAGGGAAAAACGAGAAAAAAGAGAAAAAAACGACGAAGAUGAAGAACACGGAAUAAGAGAACACGAACUUUACCUAUCCUGAUAUACUUCUCAUAGUGUUGGAUGGUAACGUUACAAGACAAAAGGGAAUAAAACGUUAAUUGAGCAUUGUUAUCUAUGUAAUACAACAUAGGAUGUUUUGUAUUAUAUUUUCAUAAUAAAUAGACACGUAGAAAAAGACGUAUUAACCAUA